Molecule: ribosomal RNA, 2096 nt
Filed under: Blautia sp. AM47-4
Lineage: Bacteria; Bacillati; Bacillota; Clostridia; Lachnospirales; Lachnospiraceae
Description: partial 23S ribosomal RNA
Rfam family: Bacterial large subunit ribosomal RNA
Source: RNAcentral
CCAUGUCCAGGCUGAAGCUGCCGUAAGAGGUAGUGGAGGGCCGAACGCACAUCCGUUGAAAAGGGUGGCGAUGAGGUGUGGGUAGGGGAGAAAUUCCAAUCGAACCCGGAGAUAGCUGGUUCUCCUCGAAAUAGCUUUAGGGCUAGCCUCGAUGGAGUCUUACGGAGGUAGAGCACUGAAUUUCUAAGGGGGCGUCAAAGCUUACCAAGGGAUAUCAAACUCCGAAUGCCGUAAAGAUGCUCAUCGGGAGUCAGACUGCACGAGAUAAGUUGGGCAGUCAAAAGGGAAAGAGCCCAGACCUGCUGCUAAGGUCCCAAAGUACGUGUUAAGUGGAAAAGGAUGUGGGAUUUCGAAGACAACUAGGAUGUUGGCUCAGAAGCAGCCACACAUUCAAAGAGUGCGUAAUAGCUCACUAGUCGAGAGGUCCUGCGCCGAAAAUGUCCGGGGCUGAAACACGACACCGAAGCACAGGAUACCGUAUGGUAUGGUAGAGGAGCAUUGCUGGCGCGAUGAAGCAGUACCGGAAGGAGCUGUGGAGUGCCAGGAAGAGAGAAUGCCGGAAUGAGUAGCGAGAGAGAGGUGGGAAUCCUCUCGGCCGAAUAUCCAAGGUUUCCAGGGUAAAGCUGAUCUGCCUGGGUAAGUCGGGGCCUAAGGAGAGGCAGAAAUGCGUAUCCGAUGGACAGCAGGUUGAGAUUCCUGCACUAUCUAAAACAGAACUGUGGGGACAUUUGUGGAGAGCACAGGCGCGGAACGGAAAGCCGCGUGCAAGCGAAGGAGGAGUCACAUAGGAAAAACCGUGUGGCAAUCCAAAGGCGUGAUGCGGACCGAACUAAAGUAGGGAAGUGUGUGAGCAUGAAUCAAGAAAAGCCGCUAUUGUUUUUAAGAUACCCGUACCGUAAACCGACACAGGUGGAUGAGGAGAGAAUCCUAAGGCCGGCGGAAGAAGCAUUGUUAAGGAACUCGGCAAAAUGACCCCGUAACUUCGGGAGAAGGGGUGCCAACGAGAGUUGGCCGCAGAGAAUAGGCUCAAGCAACUGUUUAGCAAAAACACAGGUCUAUGCAAAACCGUAAGGUGAGGUAUAUGCUGACGCCUGCCCGGUGCUGGAAGGUUAAGAGGAGAGGUUAGCGCAAGCGAAGCUUUGAAUUUAAGCCCCAGUAAACGGCGGCCGUAACUAUAACGGUCCUAAGGUAGCGAAAUUCCUUGUCGGGUAAGUUCCGACCCGCACGAAAGGCGUAAUGAUUUGAGCGCUGUCUCGACAAUGCAUCCGGUGAAAUUGAAGUACCAGUGAAGAUGCUGGUUACCCGCGCCAGGACGGAAAGACCCCAUGGAGCUUUACUCCAGUUUGGUACUGGGGUCCGGCAGUGCAUGUACAGGAUAGGUGGGAGGCUGUGAACCUGGAACGCCAGUUUCAGGGGAGCCGGUGUUGGGAUACCACCCUUGUGCUGCUGGGCUUCUAACCAGCGGCCUUUAUCAGGCCGGGGGACAAUGCCAGACGGGGAGUUUGACUGGGGCGGUCGCCUCCGAAAGGGUAUCGGAGGCGCUCAAAGGUUCCCUCAGAAUGGUCGGAAACCAUUCGAAGAGUGCAAAGGCAGAAGGGAGCUUGACUGCGACACCGACGGGUGGAGCAGGUACGAAAGUAGGACUUAGUGAUCCGGUGGUAUUAAGUGGGAAUGCCAUCGCUCAACGGAUAAAAGCUACCCUGGGGAUAACAGGCUUAUCACUCCCAAGAGUUCACAUCGACGGAGUGGUUUGGCACCUCGAUGUCGGCUCAUCGCAUCCUGGGGCUGUAGUAGGUCCCAAGGGUUGGGCUGUUCGCCCAUUAAAGCGGUACGCGAGCUGGGUUCAGAACGUCGUGAGACAGUUCGGUCCCUAUCCGGCGUGGGCGUAGGAUAUUUGAGAGGAGCUGUCCUUAGUACGAGAGGACCGGGAUGGACUGACCUCUGGUGUACCGGUUGAACCGCCAGGUUCACGGCCGGGUAGCCAAGUCGGGAAGGGAUAAACGCUGAAGGCAUCUAAGCGUGAAGCCCCCCUCAAGAUGAGAUAUCCCAUUCGAAAGAAGUAAGACCCCUUGAAGACGACGAGGUAGAUAGGGCAG